UACGUAGGGUGCGAGCGUUGUCCGGAAUUACUGGGCGUAAAGAGCUCGUAGGUGGUUUGUCGCGUUGUUCGUGAAAACUCACAGCUUAACUGUGGGCGUGCGGGCGAUACGGGCAGACUGGAGUACUGCAGGGGAGACUGGAAUUCCUGGUGUAGCGGUGAAAUGCGCAGAUAUCAGGAGGAACACCGAUGGCGAAGGCAGGUCUCUGGGCAUUAACUGACGCUGAGGAGCGAAAGCAUGGGGGAGCGAACAGG
This 254-nucleotide ribosomal RNA is filed under the name uncultured bacterium. RNAcentral's name for it is "partial 16S ribosomal RNA". It matches the Rfam family "Bacterial small subunit ribosomal RNA", at positions 524 to 776 of the family's 1533-position model. The record is from RNAcentral.